This 35-nucleotide ribosomal RNA is filed under the name Clostridioides difficile. Its description in RNAcentral is "partial 23S ribosomal RNA". The record is from RNAcentral. Lineage: Bacteria; Bacillati; Bacillota; Clostridia; Peptostreptococcales; Peptostreptococcaceae.
GUUAUUAAGGGUGGAGGGCGGAUGCCUUGGCACUA